Non-coding RNA from Camelina sativa (false flax), 372 nucleotides. The record is from RefSeq and is a predicted model, not a curated record. Lineage: Eukaryota; Viridiplantae; Streptophyta; Magnoliopsida; Brassicales; Brassicaceae.
GGUUUUACAAUUUGGGGAAAAUGUUAAUAUCUUCUUCUCUUCUUCGUAUCGCUCCUCCUUGGAAAGUUUGAGUCACCAUCUUCAAUUCUUCAUCUCAAUUCCUUGAUCCGAAUCAAAAGCAGGACACGAUACACAUGGUGCACUACGACUGGGCAAUGCAACAAGUGGAGGCAUCAGUGUUAGGGGAAGAUGCGAUUUAUCUCAUUUGGAGGCUCAGAGAGAUGCGGAGAAUGGACCAUCAUUUAUUCAAGUCUUUUUUCAAGUUUAACGAAGUUUCCUGUUAUGUUUGUGCCCCUAAAAGGGUAAAGACCCUUUGAUUGGAAAAUAAAGAGAAUUAGAUUUGGUAAAUGAACUUGUAAAUUACCGAUUUCA